RNAcentral lists this ribosomal RNA (403 nucleotides) under bacterium. Its description in RNAcentral is "partial 16S ribosomal RNA". It matches the Rfam family "Bacterial small subunit ribosomal RNA", at positions 355 to 776 of the family's 1533-position model. The record is from RNAcentral.
UGGGGAAUAUUGCACAAUGGGGGAAACCCUGAUGCAGCGACGCCGCGUGAACGAAGAAGGUAUUCGUAUCGUAAAGUUCUGUCCUAUGGGAAGAUAAUGACAGAACCAUAGAAGAAAGCUCCGGCUAAAUACGUGCCAGCAGCCGCGGUAAUACGUAUGGAGCGAGCGUUGUCCGGAAUUAUUGGGCGUAAAGGGUACGCAGGCGGUUUAAUAAGUCGAAUGUUAAAGAUCGGGGCUCAACCCCGUAAAGCAUUGGAAACUGAUAAACUUGAGUAGUGGAGAGGAAAGUGGAAUUCCUAGUGUAGUGGUGAAAUACGUAGAUAUUAGGAGGAAUACCAGUAGCGAAGGCGACUUUCUGGACACAAACUGACGCUGAGGUACGAAAGCGUGGGGAGCAAACAGG